UAUUUGAAGACUGGCGGAUAAUGGAUUUUCUCGUGAUUGAGCGCAUACACGAUUUUCUUUAUUUAGAUACUAACUUUUUGAAUUCUGUUACACAUUGAGACUUUACUUUGGAGUAUGGCGAAUUUUUUGGUAAUGAAGUUUUUAACAAGGGGAAAAUAAUCCUUAAUCAAGGAUUUGUUGGUCGUCCAAUUUGUGAUAUACAAGUUUCGGCGAAGGAAUUGAACUUAAAAGUCAGAAGUUAUGAUCUGCAAUCACUCUGCAGUGCAGUAUUAAAGACGAAGGAACACGAAUGUAAAGAGAUCACGCCAGCGGAAACUCCAUCUCCUUUUUCAAUACAGCGGACAAAGUGCUAAAUCUAAUGCAUGUGACGUUAAAAGAAGCAAAAUACAUUAUGAUUAUAGUGAUGGAUCUCAAUAUAUUGCUCGCGCUUCAAAUCACUUGUUUAGCAGGACGCUAUUAGGCGGAAGAGCGGAGAGAAACGAAUAUCUGUUGUUACAUGCUUUUAAUUUGAAAGAUUACAUAACGCUGGAUACGAAAAUUGAAAAAAAGGGGCGAGGCGAUGAUAAAUCGGAGGAAGCUGUUACCGGAGGAGAUCUUUAAGAAGGAAGGUGUCUGUAAAUUGCUGUCUUGUAAAAGUUGAAGAGAACGAGAAAGUGAUCUGUAGCGCAAUUCGGA
This is an RNA transcript of Temnothorax curvispinosus, 675 nucleotides long. It is a transcript of the gene named DNA polymerase alpha catalytic subunit-like, with no coding region annotated. Lineage: Eukaryota; Metazoa; Arthropoda; Insecta; Hymenoptera; Formicidae. The transcript is spliced from 5 exons. The record is from RefSeq and is a predicted model, not a curated record.